Passer domesticus (house sparrow) is the source of this 746-nucleotide long non-coding RNA. RefSeq lists it as uncharacterized. The record is from RefSeq and is a predicted model, not a curated record. NCBI's taxonomy places the organism in Eukaryota, Metazoa, Chordata, Aves, Passeriformes, Passeridae. The transcript has 3 exons.
AGUCAAGACUGCAAGCUUUAGCAAUGAAAGAUUGUAAAUCCUUGGACUCAGUUUUGUUUUUAUCAAAAUCACUGGCAGCAUGUGAUGAAAGCAGGAGGGGGUCAGAAGAAAGCUGAAAUUUUCUCUGCUGAGGCUGAGCUGUGGUUAGCUCAGUCAGUACUUCAAAGAAUGAGGAAUUACAGUUUUCAGGCACUUCGUGUUUGCUGAUCAUUAAAUGUUCUCCCAAGGAAUGAUACAUGGAGAACAUAGCAAGAUCUGUAAUGAUCAGUGUUUUCUUUCAUUUCUGUUAAUGUCAUAACCUGCCUUGCCAAAAAAAGUGUUCCUAAAAGCUGUGUUGGCUAUUACUGCAAAGGGUCUCAAGCAAUGGCCAGGUCAAAUCUCUGACUCCUCAACUGCUUAGGCUUGGGACCACUGAACAGAAUAAAAUCCUGGAGAUGCUAAGUAUCUUGCACAUAUGCUGAGGAAGACACAUUUUUGGAGCAGUCUUGAAGUUCUCAGAAAGAUAAGUAGUGGACCUUCAGUCUUUUUUUGAUCUCAACAUCCCCUUUUAAAGUUUUUCUGCCCAGAUCCUGAGUCUGCAUAUCUGACAAUAUAGUGAGUGAUCAAACUAGAACACAAGUUGAUCCUCAAAGCCUGCAUGAGACAAUUCCUUUCCCCCACCUAAUCCGUGUAAAACCUUGAUGUUUGUUUAAGGUAAUGAUCACAUAGAAUCAUCAAAUGGUUUUGUCUGAAGGUAUUAUUAAAGA